UUUAAGUAGAGUUUGAUCCUAGCUCAGGAUGAACGCUGGCGGCGUGGAUAAGGCAUGCAAGUCGAACGGAUUUUUUACUGAAGAAGUUGAGAUUAUAUCAAGAUGACGGAUUUAAAAAAUUAGUGGCAGACGAGGUAGUAACACGUGGGUACGUCCCCUCUAGUCGCGAAUAAUCCAUCGAAAGGUGGACUAAUACGCGAUGGUCUCGCGAGAGUAAAGAUUUAUCGCUAG
This 231-nucleotide ribosomal RNA is filed under the name Minisyncoccota bacterium. RNAcentral's name for it is "partial 16S ribosomal RNA". It matches the Rfam family "Bacterial small subunit ribosomal RNA", at positions 1 to 221 of the family's 1533-position model. Lineage: Bacteria; Bacillati; Minisyncoccota. The record is from RNAcentral.